This 641-nucleotide long non-coding RNA is filed under the name Homo sapiens (human). RNAcentral describes it as "long intergenic non-protein coding RNA 1914". Lineage: Eukaryota; Metazoa; Chordata; Mammalia; Primates; Hominidae. The record is from RNAcentral.
AUUGGUGGGGAAAAAAGGGGCUGGCACGAGCAGAGACCCUAACUGGCUUAGGUUUUUAAGAAAGGAUAAAGGCUGAACAGAUCUCUGCAGUUACAAUUAUUCAUACUAGAAGAUACUGCUAACCUCUUUGUUAUUUGAGCAGCUGGAUGAGAUUCCUGAUUUCCAUAAUCUGUACCUGGAGGUUUAUACAGGAGAGGAUCACUGGGGCAGACUUGAACCAUGGUGCCCACAAGUGGGGAGGGUGCUCCAGCGGCCAUGGAAAGAACUUCCUUCUGCAGUUGGAGACAGCCUUCUGUGUGGGCUGAAGGACAGAGUGUGAUUUUCUACUUGGAAGAGACUCCAGGGCUCUGCAGAGAGGGAAGCCCUGCUGACCCAUUUCAGCAGACUGUGACACUUCAGCGACCUGCAAAUUCUACACAUUAGAGUUCAUAUUUUAUACAAACUCCGUACACCUAAGAUGUGGACUUAACAUUUCUACCAACAACAUCCAACUUCCAACAAAAGAUGCAGGCCCAUCAGAAGAUGAAAGCUACUAAUGAAGAUGCAUUAAAGAUGAUAUUUAUGGCCACCCCUUAGGGAAAAAAAGAUUCAUAAAUAAUUUCAUGGAAAUUACACCCAAAAUAGAGUCAUAAUUUCCUCAA